GCCAUCCCAACGAAGCAAGGCAGCCAACCCCAUCGCACAUCCAGCCGAAGAGUCAUCUUCUUCCCAAGGUAUUCUUCCCACAGGUGGUUCUUCCCAAAGAUUUCCAAGGUUCCAACGCCUCCCCAGGUGGCUCUUCCCAACAUUCCAAAGUCAGCCACGUCUUCAUCCCAUCACAAGAUGUGCAACCGGCUUCUUCACAAGUAAACCCACCCGGUUCCAAGCCCUCUAGCCGUUCCUUGAAGAAUCCCAAGGGGCAUCCCGUUCUUCAUCCCAAAGCACCAGCCGGGUUCAUCCAUCAAGACCGGUUCCUACCGUUGCAAAUGAAAAAGUCCAACAGAUCCAACGCUGGAGUCUUCCAUCGCCUUGUUUCAAGGAGAUCUCAGCCGGUUCUCCACUUGCCAUGGGAUCUUAAAUGCUGCCGUUUCCCAACCGAGAAGAAGCCAUCCCGGUUCUCCAUCACGAAUCUUCCCAGCUUCUGCGAUUCCUUGGAAGUGUUUAUUGCCCAUCAAUGCCAUCAAUGCCUCAACCAGUUUAUGGGUCCAUGGGUUUUUAUUUAUUUUUUAUCAUGUAAUUGGUUGCCCUGCCUAUAAAGAAGGGUUUAUCUUGUUAUGUAAAGGGAGAUGAAUGAAUUAAGCAAAUGAAUAUGAAAGUGUUUUGAGUAUUUUGAAAAGAAAGAGGUGAGGCUCUCUCUCUUGCUUCCCUCCCCUUGAGUUCUCCCUUCCUCUUGAGUGAAAGCGGCCUCUCCCUGUCUUCCGCAAGUUCUUCUAGCGCA
This 772-nucleotide long non-coding RNA is filed under the name Phoenix dactylifera (date palm). Its description in RNAcentral is "long non-coding RNA (PDAC_LNC018263)". The record is from RNAcentral. Lineage: Eukaryota; Viridiplantae; Streptophyta; Magnoliopsida; Arecales; Arecaceae.